This 61-nucleotide transfer RNA is filed under the name Gemmatimonadales bacterium. Its description in RNAcentral is "tRNA-Ser". Lineage: Bacteria; Pseudomonadati; Gemmatimonadota; Gemmatimonadia; Gemmatimonadales. The record is from RNAcentral.
GGAACUCGAAAACCGGUAGGCCCGUUUUCGGGUCUCGUGGGUUCGAAUCCCACCCUCUCCG